CCUACGGGUGGCAGCAGUGGGGAAUAUUGCACAAUGGGCGCAAGCCUGAUGCAGCCAUGCCGCGUGUGUGAAGAAGGCCUUCGGGUUGUAAAGCACUUUCAGCGGGGAGGAAGGCGUUAAGGUUAAUAACCUUGUCGAUUGACGUUACCCGCAGAAGAAGCACCGGCUAACUCCGUGCCAGCAGCCGCGGUAAUACGGAGGGUACAAGCGUUAAUCGGAAUUACUGGGCGUAAAGCGCACGCAGGCGGUCUGUCAAGUCGGAUGUGAAAUCCCCGGGCUCAACCUGGGAACUGCAUUCGAAACUGGCAGGCUAGAGUCUUGUAGAGGGGGGUAGAAUUCCAGGUGUAGCGGUGAAAUGCGUAGAGAUCUGGAGGAAUACCGGUGGCGAAGGCGGCCCCCUGGACAAAGACUGACGCUCAGGUGCGAAAGCGUGGGGAGCAAACAGGAUUAGAUACCCGGGUAGUC
This 465-nucleotide ribosomal RNA is filed under the name uncultured Klebsiella sp. RNAcentral describes it as "bacterial SSU rRNA". It matches the Rfam family "Bacterial small subunit ribosomal RNA", at positions 338 to 795 of the family's 1533-position model. The record is from RNAcentral. Lineage: Bacteria; Pseudomonadati; Pseudomonadota; Gammaproteobacteria; Enterobacterales; Enterobacteriaceae.